GAUGAAGAAAUUGAAGAUGCUGAACAAGACUGAGAUGUUAGCUUUGUAGAAGUGGCGUUGGUUCUGAAAACAGAAACUCAGUAAAAAUCAGUAUUUGUAUCUUUAUUAUCUGUAGUGUAUUCGAAGGUUCUAUAUAAUGUUUAAUUGACAUUGCUGCUGAAAGCCUCUAAUUGACAAAUGACUCAAGUUUGAUGCUCUACAAGAUUCUCUAUUUUUCUAAUCUUUUUAAUUAAGAGCAU
This 239-nucleotide long non-coding RNA is filed under the name Fragaria vesca (wild strawberry). RNAcentral describes it as "long non-coding RNA (FVES_LNC002411)". Lineage: Eukaryota; Viridiplantae; Streptophyta; Magnoliopsida; Rosales; Rosaceae. The record is from RNAcentral.